RNAcentral lists this ribosomal RNA (1077 nucleotides) under uncultured Enterococcus sp. RNAcentral describes it as "bacterial SSU rRNA". The stretch from base 1 to 857 matches the Rfam family "Bacterial small subunit ribosomal RNA". Lineage: Bacteria; Bacillati; Bacillota; Bacilli; Lactobacillales; Enterococcaceae. The record is from RNAcentral.
GAUGAACGCUUGCGGCAGGCUUAAUACAUGCAAGUCGAACGGUAACAGGGUCUUCGGACUGCUGACGAGUGGCGGAUGGGUGAGUAACGCGUAUGCAACCUUCCUCACACCGAGAAAAAGUCGACUGAAAAGUUGAAUAAAGUCUCGUGAUGUACACGUCCCGCAUGAGAUGUGUAUGAUAGAAGCAAUUUGGUGUGAGAUGGGCAUGCGUAUCAUUAGCUAGUUGGUAGGGUAACGGCUUACCAAGGCGACGAUGAUUAGGGGGCCUGAGAGGGUGGUCCCCCACACUGGGACUGAGACACGGCCCAGACUCCUACGGGAGGCAGCAGUAGGGAAUAUUGGUCAAUGGGCGGAAGCCUGAACCAGCCAUGCCGCGUGAUGGAUGACGGCCUUAGGGUUGUAAACAUCUUUUCUGCUAGAGGAAUAUAGUUCACGUGUGGACAGACGACUGUAUAGCAGGAAUAAGGAUCGGCUAACUCCGUGCCAGCAGCCGCGGUAAUACGGAGGAUUCGAGCGUUAUCCGGAUUUACUGGGUUUAAAGGGUGCGCAGGCGGGCUCUUAAGUCAGCGGUGAAAUGUCUGGGCUUACCCUAGGAAUUUGCCGUUGAUACUGGGAGUCUUGGAUAAGCAUAAGGACGGCGGAUUGCGUAGUGUAGCGGUGAAAUGCUUAGAUAUUACGUAUAAGACCAAUUGCGAAGGCAGCUGUCUGUGUCUUUAUCGACGCUCAUGCACUAAGCGUUGGGGAGCAAACAGGAGUUAUACCCUGGUAGUCCAAUGUCGAUUUCCUAAUUGGAUAUGUAGGUUAGCGAACCCGCUGACCCCGAGGGGGAACCAAGGUUGCCAACAUUUAUUCCCUUUAUGUAUGUUUAUUAUAUGGUUACUGUGUAUGUGUAGUGAAUUGUGUUGUGUGCUAUGUGUGUUGUAUUGUGGUUUGUUGUGUGUGUCUUGACUGCUGUAUGUGCCGUGUGUGAUUUUUGUAUUUGUGUUGAUAAUUUGAUGUGUGCUGUUGUCCUUUGCUCUAUACUGCUGAUAUGUUGAUUGUGUAUGUUAGCUUGAUAGUUGUACUUGCAUGUGUGUG